This 465-nucleotide ribosomal RNA is filed under the name Vreelandella stevensii. RNAcentral describes it as "partial 16S ribosomal RNA". It matches the Rfam family "Bacterial small subunit ribosomal RNA", at positions 338 to 795 of the family's 1533-position model. Lineage: Bacteria; Pseudomonadati; Pseudomonadota; Gammaproteobacteria; Oceanospirillales; Halomonadaceae. The record is from RNAcentral.
CCUACGGGUGGCUGCAGUGGGGAAUAUUGGACAAUGGGGGCAACCCUGAUCCAGCCAUGCCGCGUGUGUGAAGAAGGCCCUCGGGUUGUAAAGCACUUUCAGUGAGGAAGAACGCCUGGUGGUUAAUACCCAUCAGGAAAGACAUCACUCACAGAAGAAGCACCGGCUAACUCCGUGCCAGCAGCCGCGGUAAUACGGAGGGUGCGAGCGUUAAUCGGAAUUACUGGGCGUAAAGCCCGCGUAGGUGGCUUGAUAAGCCGGUUGUGAAAGCCCCGGGCUCAACCUGGGAACGGCAUCCGGAACUGUCAAGCUAGAGUGAAGGAGAGGAAGGUAGAAUUCCCGGUGUAGCGGUGAAAUGCGUAGAGAUCGGGAGGAAUACCAGUGGCGAAGGCGGCCUUCUGGACUGACACUGACACUGAGGUGCGAAAGCGUGGGUAGCAAACAGGAUUAGAUACCCUAGUAGUC